GGUCAAGUUAUUAAGGGUGCAGGGCGGAUGCCUUGGCACUAGGAGCCGAUGAAGGACGUGAUAAGCUGCGAUAAGCUUCGGGGAGUUGCACGUAAACUUUGAUCCGAAGAUUUCCGAAUGAGGAAACUCACUUAGAGUAAUGUCUAAGUAUCAUUAAGUGAAUACAUAGCUUAAUGAGGGGAACUCAGGGAACUGAAACAUCUAAGUACCUGAAGGAAGAGAAAGAAAUUCGAUUCCGUAAGUAGCGGCGAGCGAACGCGGAAGAGCCCAAACCAAUAAAGUUUUCUUUAUUGGGGUUGCGGACAUAUCAUAACGAAGAGGUAUCGUAAUUGAAGAGGUUUGGAAAGACCCACCACAGAAGGUAAUAGUCCUGUAUGUUAAACGAGAAAACUUUAGAUAUGAUCCAGAGUACCACGGGACACGUGAAACCCUGUGGGAAGCAGGAGGGACCACCCUCCAAGGCUAAAUACUACCUAGUGACCGAUAGCGUAUAGUACCGUGAGGGAAAGGUGAAAAGAACCCCGGGAGGGGAGUGAAAUAGAACCUGAAACCCUGCACUUACAAGCUGUGGAAGCACAUUUCUUGUGUGACCGCGUACUUUUUGUAGAACGGGCCAACGAGUUACGUUAAGUAGCAAGGUUAAGCACUUAAGGUGUGGAGCCGUAGCGAAAGCGAGUUUUAACUGAGCGUUCAGUUACUUGACGUAGACCCGAAACCGGGCGACCUACCCAUGAGCAGGAUGAAGCGAAAGUAAAAUUUCGUGGAGGUCCGAACCCACGAGCGUUGAAAAGCUCGGGGAUGACUUGUGGGUAGCGGUGAAAUUCCAAUCGAGCCCGGAGAUAGCUGGUUCUCCCCGAAAUAGCUUUAGGGCUAGCCUCAAGGUGAGAGAUACGGAGGUAGAGCACUGAAUGUCCUAGGGGGUAUUGCACCUACCGAAGACUAUCAAACUCCGAAUGCCGUCAUCUUAUACUUGGGAGUCAGACUGUGGGUGAUAAGAUUCAUAGUCGAAAGGGCAACAGCCCAGAUCGUCAGCUAAGGUCCCUAAAUGUAAGUUAAGUGGUAAAGGAUGUGGGAUUGCACAGACAACCAGGAUGUUGGCUUAGAAGCAGCCACUCAUUCAAAGAGUGCGUAAUAGCUCACUGGUCGAGUGAUCCUGCGCCGAAGAUUUCCGGGGCUAAAACUUACUACCGAAGCUACGGCAUCAUUAUGAUGGGUAGGGGAGCUUCCCAUACGGGUUGAAGCAUGACCGUAAGGACAUGUGGACAGUAUGGGAGUGAGAAUGUUGGCAUGAGUAGCGAGAUGUGGGUGAGAAUCCCACAGGCCGUAAACCCAAGGUUUCCAGGGGAAGGUUCGUCCGCCCUGGGUUAGUCGGGACCUAAGCUGAGGCCGAAAGGCGUAGGUGAUGGACAACAGGUUGAUAUUCCUGUACUACCGAUAACCGUUUGAGAGAUGGGAUGACACAGUAGGAUAAGCUAAGCACACUGUUGGUUAUGUGUGCCCAAGCAUUGAGGCAGUCAGAGUAGGUAAAUCCGCUUUGAUAAUGCUGGGAUGUGAUGGGGAGCGAAAUUUAGUAGCGAAGUAGCUGAUUUCACACUGUCAAGAAAAGUCUCUAUCGAGGUUAAAGGUACCCGUACCGCAAACCGACACAGGUGGGUGAGGAGAGUAUCCUAAGGCCCGCGAGAGAACUGUUGUUAAGGAACUCGGCAAAAUGACCCCGUAACUUAGGGAUAAGGGGUGCCACCAUCCGGUGGCCGCAGAGAAUAGGCCCAAGCGACUGUUUACCAAAAACAUAGGUUUCUGCUAAGUCGCAAGACGAUGUAUAGGAGCUGACGCCUGCCCGGUGCUGGAAGGUUAAGGGGAUCUGUUAGAGCAAUCGAAGCAGUGAACUUAAGCCCCAGUAAACGGCGGCCGUAACUAUAACGGUCCUAAGGUAGCGAAAUUCCUUGUCGGGUAAGUUCCGACCCGCACGAAAGGCGUAACGAUUUGGGCACUGUCUCAACAACAGACUCGGUGAAAUUGUAAUUCCGGUGAAGAUGCCGGAUACCUGCGACAGGACGGAAAGACCCCAUGGAGCUUUACUGUAGCUUGACAUUGGGUCUUGGUACUACAUGUACAGGAUAGGUGGGAGGCUUUGAAACCAGGACGCCAGUUUUGGCGGAGCCAUCCUUGGGAUACCACCCUUGUAGUACUGGGACUCUAACCAUAGGCCAUGAAUCUGGUCUUGGGACACUGUCAGGUGGGCAGUUUGACUGGGGCGGUCGCCUCCCAAAAGGUAACGGAGGCGCUCAAAGGUUCUCUCAGUACGGUCGGAAAUCGUACGUAGAGUGUAAAGGCAAAAGAGAGCUUGAUUGCAAGACAUACAGGUCGAGCAAGGAUGAAAAUCGGACUUAGUGAUCCGGUGGUUCUGCGUGGAAGGGCCAUCGCUCAACGGAUAAAAGCUACCCUGGGGAUAACAGGCUUAUCUCCCCCAAGAGUCCACAUCGACGGGGAGGUUUGGCACCUCGAUGUCGGCUCAUCACAUCCUGGGGCUGUAGUAGGUCCCAAGGGUUGGGCUGUUCGCCCAUUAAAGUGGUACGCGAGCUGGGUUCAGAACGUCGUGAGACAGUUCGGUCCCUAUCCGUCGCAGGCGUAGGAAAUUUGAGAAGACCUGUCCUUAGUACGAGAGGACCGGGAUGGACGUACCUCUGGUGUACCAGUUGUUCUGCCAAGGGCAUGGCUGGGUAGCUAUGUACGGAAUGGAUAAGCGCUGAAAGCAUCUAAGCGCGAAGCCAACUUCAAGAUAAGAUUUCCCACCG
RNAcentral lists this ribosomal RNA (2795 nucleotides) under Clostridioides difficile. RNAcentral describes it as "partial 23S ribosomal RNA". It matches the Rfam family "Bacterial large subunit ribosomal RNA". Lineage: Bacteria; Bacillati; Bacillota; Clostridia; Peptostreptococcales; Peptostreptococcaceae. RNAcentral also lists the same sequence under 3 other names. The record is from RNAcentral.